CUACGGGACGCACCAGUGGGGAAUAUUGCACAAUGGGCGCAAGCCUGAUGCAGCCAUGCCGCGUGUAUGAAGAAGGCCUUCGGGUUGUAAAGUACUUUCAGCGGGGAGGAAGGGAGUAAAGUUAAUACCUUUGCUCAUUGACGUUACCCGCAGAAGAAGCACCGGCUAACUCCGUGCCAGCAGCCGCGGUAAUACGGAGGGUGCAAGCGUUAAUCGGAAUUACUGGGCGUAAAGCGCACGCAGGCGGUUUGUUAAGUCAGAUGUGAAAUCCCCGGGCUCAACCUGGGAACUGCAUCUGAUACUGGCAAGCUUGAGUAUCGUAGAGGGGGGUAGAAUUCCAGGUGUAGCGGUGAAAUGCGUAGAGAUCUGGAGGAAUACCGGUGGCGAAGGCGGCCCCCUGGACGAAAACUGACGCUCAGGUGCGAAAGCGUGGGGAGCAAACAGGAUUAGAUACCCGCGUAGUC
RNAcentral lists this ribosomal RNA (464 nucleotides) under uncultured bacterium. RNAcentral's name for it is "partial 16S ribosomal RNA". It matches the Rfam family "Bacterial small subunit ribosomal RNA", at positions 339 to 795 of the family's 1533-position model. The record is from RNAcentral.